GCCGGGCACGUUGGCGCACGCCUGUAAUCCCAGCGGCUCGGGAGGCUGAGGCAGGAGGAUCCUGAGUUCAAAGUCAGCCUCAGCAAAAGUGAGGCACUAAGCAACUGAGUGAGACCCUGUCUCUA
Molecule: small RNA, 125 nt
Filed under: Marmota monax (woodchuck)
Lineage: Eukaryota; Metazoa; Chordata; Mammalia; Rodentia; Sciuridae
Source: RNAcentral